RNAcentral lists this ribosomal RNA (253 nucleotides) under uncultured bacterium. Its description in RNAcentral is "partial 16S ribosomal RNA". It matches the Rfam family "Bacterial small subunit ribosomal RNA", at positions 524 to 776 of the family's 1533-position model. The record is from RNAcentral.
UACAGAGGUCCCAAGCGUUGUUCGGAUUCACUGGGCGUAAAGGGUGCGUAGGCGGUUGGGUAAGUCUGAUGUGAAAUCUCACAGCUUAACUGUGAAACUGCAUUGGAUACUAUCCGGCUAGAGGAAUGGAGGGGAGACUGGAAUACUUGGUGUAGCAGUGAAAUGCGUAGAUAUCAAGUGGAACACCAGUGGCGAAGGCGGGUCUCUGGGCCGUAACUGACGCUGAGGAGCGAAAGCGUGGGGAGCGAACAGG